Molecule: ribosomal RNA, 738 nt
Rfam family: Bacterial small subunit ribosomal RNA
AAAUUGAAGAGUUUGAUCAUGGCUCAGAUUGAACGCUGGCGGCAGGCCUAACACAUGCAAGUCGGACGGUAGCACAGAGAGCUUGCUCUCGGGUGACGAGUGGCGGACGGGUGAGUAAUGUCUGGGGAUCUGCCCGAUAGAGGGGGAUAACCACUGGAAACGGUGGCUAAUACCGCAUAACGUCGCAAGACCAAAGAGGGGGACCUUCGGGCCUCUCACUAUCGGAUGAACCCAGAUGGGAUUAGCUAGUAGGCGGGGUAAUGGCCCACCUAGGCGACGAUCCCUAGCUGGUCUGAGAGGAUGACCAGCCACACUGGAACUGAGACACGGUCCAGACUCCUACGGGAGGCAGCAGUGGGGAAUAUUGCACAAUGGGCGCAAGCCUGAUGCAGCCAUGCCGCGUGUAUGAAGAAGGCCUUCGGGUUGUAAAGUACUUUCAGCGGGGAGGAAGGCGGUGCGGUUAAUAACCGCGCCGAUUGACGUUACCCGCAGAAGAAGCACCGGCUAACUCCGUGCCAGCAGCCGCGGUAAUACGGAGGGUGCAAGCGUUAAUCGGAAUUACUGGGCGUAAAGCGCACGCAGGCGGUCUGUUAAGUCAGAUGUGAAAUCCCCGGGCUUAACCUGGGAACUGCAUUUGAAACUGGCAGGCUUGAGUCUCGUAGAGGGGGGUAGAAUUCCAGGUGUAGCGGUGAAAUGCGUAGAGAUCUGGAGGAAUACCGGUGGCGAAGGCGGCCCCCU